RNAcentral lists this ribosomal RNA (69 nucleotides) under Roseovarius nanhaiticus. Its description in RNAcentral is "partial 16S rRNA. Bacterial SSU". It matches the Rfam family "Bacterial small subunit ribosomal RNA", at positions 1 to 67 of the family's 1533-position model. The record is from RNAcentral. Lineage: Bacteria; Pseudomonadati; Pseudomonadota; Alphaproteobacteria; Rhodobacterales; Roseobacteraceae.
UUCAACUUGAGAGUUUGAUCCUGGCUCAGAACGAACGCUGGCGGCAGGCUUAACACAUGCAAGUCGAGC